CGCAUAUUUGGCCUCCCAGGGGAUGAUGGUCCGAUGGAGUCAUAAAACACCUUCAGAUCAACCUUAUUCCGAAAACAACCCUCUCAGUAUUUCCUGCAGUCGCUGGGUCAGUGUAUUUUACAGGCUUUAAGUAAUGGUGGAAUUUUGAGCUUUAUCACAUUUAAUCAUUUGGUGUUUGACUGGAUGCUCUAAUUCCAAAAUGAUAAAAGAGAGUUUUAACGAGAGACUAGAGCCGGUGUAUCCUAAGAAUUCUGCAGCAAACAUCCCUGGGCCCAGCGAGCUAUGGCGCCUGAACUAUCAAUUACCUGUUUCUGUUACCUUGUCAUUGAAAAAUUAGAAUGAAGAGAAUCGUUUUUUUUUCUCUUUUUUUUUUUUGAAUGCGUUAGUAUUUACAAUGAGAUAUUUUAUGGUUGUGGUAAACCAUAACCACUGAGCCCAAUAUGAAUAUUCAGAUUGUGAGAUAGUGUUGUAGGACCUAAUUUGGAGUAAUGUUAUUGA
This 498-nucleotide long non-coding RNA is filed under the name Vitis vinifera (wine grape). Its description in RNAcentral is "long non-coding RNA (VVIN_LNC001408)". Lineage: Eukaryota; Viridiplantae; Streptophyta; Magnoliopsida; Vitales; Vitaceae. The record is from RNAcentral.